This 407-nucleotide ribosomal RNA is filed under the name uncultured Gammaproteobacteria bacterium. RNAcentral's name for it is "bacterial SSU rRNA". It matches the Rfam family "Bacterial small subunit ribosomal RNA", at positions 9 to 416 of the family's 1533-position model. Lineage: Bacteria; Pseudomonadati; Pseudomonadota; Gammaproteobacteria. The record is from RNAcentral.
GAGUUUGAUCAUGGCUCAGAUUGAACGCUGGCGGCAUGCCUAACACAUGCAAGUCGAACGGCAGCACAGCCCGCAAGGGUGGGUGGCGAGUGGCGGACGGGUGAGGAAUACAUGGGAAUCUACCCGGUUGUGGGGGAUAACGUAGGGAAACUUACGCUAAUACCGCAUACGACCGAGAGGUGAAAGCGGCGGACCGCAAGGCGUCGCGCGAUCGGAUGAGCCCAUGUCGGAUUAGCUAGUUGGCGGGGUAAAGGCCCACCAAGGCGACGAUCCGUAGCUGGUCUGAGAGGAUGAUCAGCCACACUGGAACUGAGACACGGUCCAGACUCCUACGGGAGGCAGCAGUGGGGAAUAUUGGACAAUGGGCGCAAGCCUGAUCCAGCAAUGCCGCGUGGGUGAAGAAGGCC